This 96-nucleotide transfer RNA is filed under the name Phaeobacter inhibens. Its description in RNAcentral is "tRNA-Ser". Lineage: Bacteria; Pseudomonadati; Pseudomonadota; Alphaproteobacteria; Rhodobacterales; Roseobacteraceae. The record is from RNAcentral.
GCUGGAGGUGGUGGAGGUCGCAGGCGAAAUGCUGGUGCUGGCGGCGGGCAGCGACGACGGGCUGGCGCUGUUUCGGAUCCUGCCCGAGGGCCAGCU